This 1584-nucleotide ribosomal RNA is filed under the name Triticum aestivum (bread wheat). RNAcentral describes it as "partial small subunit ribosomal RNA". Lineage: Eukaryota; Viridiplantae; Streptophyta; Magnoliopsida; Poales; Poaceae. The record is from RNAcentral.
AUGUAUCUCCCUGACCGCGCCGUGUACGACGACGACGAGCCGGUGGAGCCUCCGGCGCAGGGGGCGCCGCUGGACGACUGGGAUCUCGUCCACGACGCGGCCAACGGCGGAGGCAAGCUCGUCCUCGAUGCCCACUGCGAGCACCCGGCCGUCGCCAGAGGCAAGCCGCACGAAAACUUCGUGGUGCUGGUCCAUGCCAAGGCCCCGGCGGCGCAGACACGCGCGCCGCUCGACCUCGUCACCGUGCUCGACGUCAUCGGCAGCAUGGCGGGACACAAGAUCGCGCUGCUGAAGAAGGCUAUGGAGUUCAUCGUCGACCAGCUCGGCCCUGCUGACCGCCUCAGCGUCGUGGCAUUCUCGACGGCCGCGCAUCGGGUCAUCCCGCUGACGCGCAUGUCGGACGCCGGGAAGGUCAAGGCCAAGGACGCUGUGCAGUUACUCGAGGCUGAAGGUGGAACGAACAUCCUCAAGGGCCUCACCGAGGCUGCCAAAGUGCUCGACGGCCGCCGGCACAAGAACGCCGUAGUCAGCGUCAUCCUUCUCUCGGACGGCCAGGACACGUACAAUCUCGAUCUUGGAGGUCUCGUGCCAAGCUCCUUGCUAAGCGGUGCCGGCCACCGAUCGACGCCGAUACACACCUUCGGCUUCGGCGUCGACCACGACUCGUCAGCCAUGCACACGAUCGCCGAGGAGACCGGCGGCACGUUCUCCUUCAUCGAGGACGAGAAGGUGGUGCAAGACUCGUUCGCGCAGUGCAUCGGCGGGCUCCUCUCCGUGGUCGUGCAGGAGGCGCUGAUCAGCGUCAAGUGCGUGAACCCGGUGCGCGUCCGUGCAGUCAAGUCCGGCCGCUACGACGCCAGCAUCGACGCGUACGGGCGCUCCGCCUCGGUGGACGUCGGCGAGCUCUACGCGGAUGAGGAAAGGCGCUUUCUGCUCCUGGUGGACGUGCCGAGGGCCGGCGACGCGGACGACGUGACGCGGCUCGUGAAGGUGACAUGCACCUACCGCGACACGGCGACCGGGCAGGUGCUGGACGUGGCCGGCGAGGACAUAGCGGUGCAGAGGCCGGUGGAGCUGGCCAAGGACCAGCAGCCGUCCAUGGACGUGGCGCGGGAGAAAUUCCGCGUGGAGGCGACGGAGGACAUCGCGGCGGCGCGCGCGGCCGCGGAGCGCGGCGAGUACGCGGAGGCCGCGAGGAUACUGGAGCGCAGGCGGGAGGCGCUGGCGGACGACGCAAGGUGCAAGGCGCUGGUGGAGGAGCUGCGGGAGCUGAGCACCCGCGUGGCGAGCCGGCGGGAGUACGAGCAGUCGGGGUGCGCGUGCAUCCUGACCGGCUACAGCUCCCACGCGCAGCAGCGCGCCGCGUCGGCCUUCGUGGCCGGUGCCGAGGGGUACGGCUGUCGCCAGCCGGGCGGGGCGGCUCCGGGCGCGGCGCCGUCGAUUCUAGGUUUUGGCGCGGCCGGGGCGUAUGCGACGCCGGCGAUGCAGAGGAUGGUUGGCGCGUCGAGGCAAAUACGUGAGCAGCAGCAGCAGCAGCCGGCGACGUCCAAGAGGAAGAGCGGAAGCAAUGGCGGUGCAUACUAA